UUCGCAUUCCCUUUUUCAUGAAAAACGGAAAAAAGAAGCAGCAAAAAAGCAGAAAUUCAAGGAAGAGGAGAUAUCGCAAAUCGAACCGAUGGAGAUAGAAUGAUCGAACGUAACGAAAGUGAUCGGAUGCAUCGCGUGUGAUAGCAUAUCGUUGCGUGUUUCGUGCGGUUCCGGUCACAUGGAUCACGAGGUAAUCGCUGCCCCUUCCUCUCCUGACCGCAGAGAUUCCUGCGACGGGUGGGGAUGUCAACCAUGAUUGGGAGAGAUGUAGAAAAGAGGAAGUGGUAGACAAUUCCUAGGAGGUGAAAGCGGACAAUGAGGAUGAGGAGGAAAAGCAGGAGGAAGAAAACAUUAUCUCAACAUCGAUGAUAAUCACGUAAGUGCUCUGCGCUCAAGAGCGACCACGACGAACGCGCUCGCUCGGCCGAGCGCGCACACUAACGCGUUGUGCAAACACACGUAUACACGCGCGUACACAUCACGGGGGUACUGCUCGCACCUAGAAGGGUAGAUCUGCCCGAAGGUGGUAAACGCGGGAGAAAGGCGCUCUGCGAGAUCUGAGAGGAUAGGGUGCUAACAUCGAGCUGCGGGAUAGAAGGAGGGGAGGAUGGCUGCGGUGGAAGCACUUUUGUCAAGAUAUAUCCAAGCCAAGAAACCGUGAACCAGCCAGUCAGCCAAGCAGCCCACGUAAUAUAAAGAGAUAUGUGCCGCGGAAUAGCAUUACCAUUAGGAGAUAUAGUUUAGCGGAGGAGGCGGCACAGAUGAAAUGAGAUACUGCGGCUGAAUCAUGCAUGAAGCAAAGAAGGUGCGAUUCGCACCGUUCUCCUUCUCGCUCGACCUGUACACCUUUAUCUAACGUUCUAUGUUCCAUGUCGCGAGAUGGAACAUCCAGUAUUUUUCUACGUCGGCGAAUCCAUUUUAGCGCAAGAGCUCGAAACUCAGCCGGGAGAAAUUCCGACGAGCGCGGGUCAAAGGGCAAAAAGUGUCUUCGAAGAAAGAAAUUCGGAAUCACGACGUGAAUGAAGUAGGCGGGAGGACCAGAUGGUGGUGGCCGCGACGACAGUAGUGGGAGCACUUAUGCAUUUAUGCAUUCAUAUUUCCGCAGUCUCCGUUUUCGAGACGAACCAUAAGACGACGACGACGAAGACGACGACGUCGUCGUCGUCGUAGGAGCGCUCGAACCAUAGCGAUAUUCCACGCCGUCGAAAAAGAGGAAAGGUAGGGAAGCAAAAGAGGUGGGCGGAAAGUUGCUCCGGAAUAAUAAUACACGCCGGCGCCCGCGCUAGCUCCGCUCUCGCAGGAAAAAAUCUGAAUACAUGAAACGUAAUGACAGAGUGUGUACGCCUCCGCUUUCGCCGGAGCGGUCGCCAGAUUCAGGAUAGCCGUAUCAGAAAGAGCAGAUGUCGUAGGAGCGCCGGUGAAGCCUUCGACUUCGUUACGAUACCGGUUUAUCUCGCAAAUUGCAGUUGCGAAAAACUCAAGAAAAAGAAAGAGAAAAGUUAUACCUUCCUACAUGUCAUAUUUAAUAUGCAAUAAUUCAAUAAGUAUAUUUAAUAAAAACCUUCAGCGUAAAAGCAAAAACUAAGAUGUUUCAAGUCAAAAUAGAAACGAUGAACAAGCAACAAAAAAAUAAAUCUUAUAUGGACUUAGACCUUGCAACAAAGUUCAUAAUAAGGAAGACACAAAUAAUAUCACUAUUGUUUUCUGAUGAAGCAAUCGCUGAAAUUAUUGUUGAACAUUAGAAUCCCUGACUCAAUGGUAACAAAAUUUGCUCGAUCUGCGAAUGUUAACGAUGGUGAUGACCAUCGAAAAACGAGGUUAUCGAGGACAAGCAGAAGGACGUUGGCGAGAGAAAACAGUCGGCGACGCUGAUGGCGUAAGGGUAGGAAGGUAGAUGGAUGAAAGGAAGGAAGGAAGGAAGGAAGGAAGGAAGGGCGCCGUCGUACCCGUGGCUCCGCCUAUCGGCGCGCCGGCUCGCGGUGGUGAAUACAUUUAGCCUGGUUAGUUUACAAAUGAAUACAGCGAUUGAAGCAACUUAUAAUAUCAAUGUACCUCCGACCGUCUCGCUCGCACGCCGUGCGCCACCCCUUGCUAGCAUCUCGCUUCCACCCACUCUCUCGCGGGGUUCCAUACAGAAUGGCCAUAUUAACUUGAUAAUUAGCUCGGUUAUACGACUUGCAGAUGAGGAAAGACUCGGGACGGACGUCGGCUACCCCUACCAGGAGUGGUGCCAGUGUUCCUUGCUCUGCUCCCUAUGCUAUGCUCGACUCGGCCCGGCUCCUCGUCGCUCGUCGGAUGGAUAUAGAACCCUUAGUUCGUAUUCCUCUCCCUAUCUGCUAGGAACCUCGUCGUGGUUCGUCUCGCAGCCGGUAAAUCCGACGACGACGACGACGUUGACGUCAACGUCGUCGUCGUCCUCGCGCUCGUGCUCUCGACGAGACGUGUUUUUUGGAGUAACGGUCUCUCAGUGAAUUUCCAAAGUGCCUAUCCUCACCUCCUCGCAAGUGACACAGGUUAAUCUAGGUGAUCACGUGCUCUAGCAUGCGAUCAUGACCACGUGCUACACGAGGUUUCCUCAUGAGGAUUGAACAAAUGAUGAGAAUCAACGUUCGCCGUUUCUUAUCAGUGACGUCCUAUCAGACUAUAUCGUGAUAACGAUAAAGAGGAGAGAUAGCAGCCAUGAAACGGGGAAAAGCCGAAAGACGAUAAUCAGCAGGGAACUGCAAAUAUUCUUAACUUCAGAAGAAUAUUCUUAACUUCGAGAAACGAAUUUAUUCUUCGCGCAACUUCUGUUCCAUGAUAUAGUUUAGCGAAAUAUCUCGCGCUCGAGCAAGAAAUAAAUGUUUCAACUCACUGAGAGCUCUUAUCUUUCAACAAAAAACCCAUGAUCCUUAAGCGAUAACUACGGCGGACUCGACUAAUCCGCCAAUCAAUUAAUUGGACUACGUACUUCCGCGCGUUGAUGAAAAAUACUACCAAAAACAAGUCAGCUUCGGAACAUUAAUCAAGAAGAGAAUAAAAAGGUAAUAUUAAUGCCAGGUCGGCAAUGGUGGUCGACAUCAAAGAACAUCCCCUUCCUUCCUCACUUCUACAGCGGCGUAUUUAGAAAAUUUGUAAACGCUUGGAUAAAUUCCAUUUUAUUCUUAGCUAAUUUCAAAAAUUUUUCAGAUUUUUAUAUUAUCUCUUACGUAUUAUUAGCACAUAGUAAAAAUACUAGUAUGUUAUGCAAAAUAUUAGUAGAAAUAUCAAUAUAAUAUAUUUUGCAGAUGUCACAACACAAAAUUUUAGUUUUUAAAUUUUUUCUAAAUAAAUAUGUUCUUUCAUUACAAUUCUAUAUUAUAAUAAUAUAUCUGUAUAUAGCAUAAAAAAUUGAUAUGUAUGUAAAUAAAAUUCAUGUUUUAAGGG
Long non-coding RNA from Cataglyphis hispanica, 3405 nucleotides. RefSeq lists it as uncharacterized. The record is from RefSeq and is a predicted model, not a curated record. NCBI's taxonomy places the organism in Eukaryota, Metazoa, Arthropoda, Insecta, Hymenoptera, Formicidae. The transcript has 4 exons.